UGUCAUAGACAAAAAAGACAA
RNAcentral lists this non-coding RNA (21 nucleotides) under Caenorhabditis elegans. The record is from RNAcentral. Lineage: Eukaryota; Metazoa; Nematoda; Chromadorea; Rhabditida; Rhabditidae.